RNAcentral lists this ribosomal RNA (254 nucleotides) under uncultured bacterium. RNAcentral's name for it is "partial 16S ribosomal RNA". It matches the Rfam family "Bacterial small subunit ribosomal RNA", at positions 524 to 776 of the family's 1533-position model. The record is from RNAcentral.
UACGUAGGGUGCAAGCGUUAAUAGGAAUUACUGGGCGUAAAGCGUGCGCAGGCGGUUUUGUAAGUCUGUCGUGAAAUCCCCGGGCUUAACCUGGGAACUGCAUUGGUGACUGGCAGGCUUUGAGUGUGGCAGAGGGAGGUAGAAUUCCACGUGUAGCAGUGAAAUGCGUAGAGAUGUGGAGGAACACCGAUGGCGAAGGCAGCCCCCUGGGUCAAGAUUGACGCUCAUGCACGAAAGCGUGGGGAGCAAACAGG